This is a non-coding RNA of Puma concolor (puma), 1758 nucleotides long. The record is from RefSeq and is a predicted model, not a curated record. Lineage: Eukaryota; Metazoa; Chordata; Mammalia; Carnivora; Felidae.
GACCUGAGCCGAAGUCCGACCCUUAACCAACUGAGCCACACAGGGCCCCCAAAGGAAUAAUUUUCUCCAACUUUACUCAUCUUGGAAAUGAUGGGGGAAAGGUCAAUAGGACUCUCUGGUGAAACUGGAUGUGAGAAAUAGACUGAUACAUGGUAGCCUAGACUUUGCACUUCUAAGACAUUACACCUUUUGGGAUAUUUAAAGUAUCUGUGGCAAACCUGUGAUCUUCUGAAGUUCCAAGUGGAGGUGUGGAGUGCUCCUGAUGGCAGAAUUUCCUGGAGAACGAAAUUGAUGUUUGUACACCAAACUUAAAACCUAGCAGGUAGUUUGGAUGUGAUAAGACAGAGAAGAAAGUUGGUGCCUUCAUCAUCUAUCAUCUUCUGCCCUUUUCACAGACCCCAGACCCAUGAAUGAGCAGAACCACUUCAUUUUGCAUUCCACUGCCCAGUCCUCUCUGCUAUUGUGCUCUUCAAAGAUUCUGGGCAUCUUCUGAGUCUGGUAAAAAAAAAAAAGGUGGAUGCUACAUAUGCUUCUGAUUUGGAUUUUCAUAAUAACAUUCCCUAAGAUUUCCAAAAGGCCAACACCUUGAAAAAGUAUGUUAAAUGGCUUAGUGUUUGUUUUUUGAAUGUUUUAAAUGCUGCAUGCAACUUUGUUUGGUUCUGGGUAUGCAUUUAGCAUUUAAUUAGAAGUCAGUGCAGUGAUCCUUUUCUGCUUUAUUUUCUACAAAAAGAUUUAGUAGUGGACAACUAUGUCUGUGAAGCUGGGGUGACUUUCCAAAAGGGAACAUAUAGCCAAGGUUUUCUUUCUCCUUAAGCACCAGGGCGAAGGUUGGCCUCACACAUAUAAGUUGUGACAAGUCCAUUUCUGGCUGUGUAGUUGGAUUCCCAGAAUGUCAUUUCUUCUUGUAUUUCAUGAUUCUGUCACUCCAGGGUUGGAGUUACUCAUUCUAUUACCAUCUUAGAUUUCAGUUUCCAUAAUGUGCCCAUCUGAAUUCAGCAUUAAUUUUCUUUUCCCUGGCAAGAAAACACCAAAUAGUGUGUUUAACCCCUUGAGUCAUCAAUUCAUCAAUAGGCCAGGCUCUGUACUUUGGGAUAGCUCAACAAACAAUUUUACCACUGACCACAGAGUUGGAUAGAGUAAUCCCUUUCUGCAGAGAGCACAGAGGAUGAUCCAAGUCAGGGCAUAUGGGGAAUGAUUUCUUUUGCCAUCUGCAUUUUGCAUAGGGUCAUGUAACCACCAGACCAGUAGGCCCCUUAAUUCACCCUGUCAGCUCCAAAUAGAGCAGACUUCACACACAAAAAGUGAUGUAUCUAAACCUGAACAAAGCAAUGGUUUAUGAUCUUCUCUUCACAUCCUUGGAUCUUAGGCAUUACAAUAUUUUUCUUUUCUUCCUAAGAUCUUUUACUAUAAAAUUUUAAAAAGCUCACAGUGCAUCAGCAUGGUCUUCUUAGAUGUUUGUUCACUUCUGUUCUUGUUGCUUAAGAAUUAAACACACAGAAAACUUCCUCCCUACCCAGUUCAUACUCCUUGUUUUGUUAAACUGGUAUUAUUACCCUUUUCAUUAGGGUUCAUUUAAAUUCAUCCUUAAAGGUUUGGAUUAAAAUUAACUAACAUAUAUGUUAAUGGUCAUGUCUAUACACAAAUCUGUUUGACUAUUUUGACUAAAUAUGUGAAACUACUAAGUAAAUGGAACGAAGGUUUGGGACUCUCUUACCAACCAGUUAUUUGGGGAUGUAUAUCUCAUUAAAUGAUUUGGGU